AGUGAACGCUGGCGGUAGGCCUAACACAUGCAAGUCGAACGGCAGCACAGUAAGAGCUUGCUCUUACGGGUGGCGAGUGGCGGACGGGUGAGGAAUAAAUCGGAAUCUACUUUUUCGUGGGGGAUAACGUAGGGAAACUUACGCUAAUACCGCAUACGACCUACGGGUGAAAGCAGGGGAUCUUCGGACCUUGCGCGAUUGAAUGAGCCGAUGUCGGAUUAGCUAGUUGGCGGGGUAAAGGCCCACCAAGGCGACGAUCCGUAGCUGGUCUGAGAGGAUGAUCAGCAACACUGGAACUGAGACACGGUCCAGACUCCUACGGGAGGCAGCAGUGGGGAAUAUUGGACAAUGGGCGCAAGCCUGAUCCAGCCAUACCGCGUGGGUGAAGAAGGCCUUCGGGUUGUAAAGCCCUUUUGUUGGGAAAGAAAAGCAGCAGGUUAAUACCCCGCUGUUCUGACGGUACCCAAAGAAUAAGCACCGGCUAACUUCGUG
This 492-nucleotide ribosomal RNA is filed under the name uncultured bacterium. RNAcentral describes it as "partial 16S ribosomal RNA". It matches the Rfam family "Bacterial small subunit ribosomal RNA", at positions 29 to 507 of the family's 1533-position model. The record is from RNAcentral.